GCGUCUUCGGCGUCCGCAUUGUAAUCUCAAGAAGUGUUUUCCGUUUCGGACCAUGCCUAAGUCUCUUGGAAAAGAGCAUCAUAGAGGGUGAUAAUCCCGUACAUGGCAUGGAGCGCCCGAGACUUUGUGAUACGCUUUCUAAGAGUCGAGUUGUUUGGGAAUGCAGCUCAAAAUGGGUGGUAAAUGCCAUCUAAGGCUAAAUAUUGGGGAGAGACCGAUAGCGAACAAGUACAGUGAUGGAAAGAUGAAAAGAACUUUGAAAAGAGAGUUAAACAGUACGUGAAAUUGCCAAAAGGGAAGGGUAGGAGGUCAGAGAUGCGUUCUGGGAUUCAGCCUUGCUUUUGCUUGGUGUUUUUCCCAGAUUGCAGGCCAACGUCGGUUUUGGGCGCUGGAGAAGGGUGGAAGGAAUGUGGCACCUCUCGGGGUGUGUUAUAGCCUUCUACUGGAUACAGUGACCGAGACCGAGGACAGCAGCGUACUCGCAAGAGCGGGCCUUCGGGCACCUUUACGCUUAGGGCGUUGGCAUAAUGGCCCUCUACCACC
RNAcentral lists this ribosomal RNA (543 nucleotides) under Ustilago sp. DMKU-SP191. RNAcentral describes it as "LSU rRNA". It matches the Rfam family "Eukaryotic large subunit ribosomal RNA", at positions 125 to 649 of the family's 3401-position model. Lineage: Eukaryota; Fungi; Basidiomycota; Ustilaginomycetes; Ustilaginales; Ustilaginaceae. The record is from RNAcentral.